RNAcentral lists this ribosomal RNA (396 nucleotides) under uncultured bacterium. Its description in RNAcentral is "partial 16S ribosomal RNA". It matches the Rfam family "Bacterial small subunit ribosomal RNA", at positions 338 to 731 of the family's 1533-position model. The record is from RNAcentral.
CCUACGGGAGGCAGCAGUGAGGAAUAUUGGUCAAUGGACGCAAGACUGAACCAGCCAUGUCGCGUGCAGGAUGACGGCUCUAUGAGUUGUAAACUGCUUUUAUACGGGGAUAAAAUGCGACACGUGUGUUGUUUUGUAGGUACCGCAUGAAUAAGGACCGGCUAAUUCCGUGCCAGCAGCCGCGGUAAUACGGAGGGUCCAGGCGUUAUCCGGAUUUAUUGGGUUUAACGGGAGCGUAGGCGGUCUGUUAAGUGAGCGGUGAAAUGCCGUGGCUCAACUAUGGCAUUGCGUCGCAGACUGUCCGGCUAGAGAGCAGUGGAGGUAGGCGGAAUGCAUGGUGUAGCGGUGAAAUGCUUAGAGAUCACACAGAACACCGAUUGCGAAGGCAGCUUACGA